Molecule: ribosomal RNA, 376 nt
Filed under: uncultured Thiobacillus sp.
Lineage: Bacteria; Pseudomonadati; Pseudomonadota; Betaproteobacteria; Nitrosomonadales; Thiobacillaceae
Description: bacterial SSU rRNA
Rfam family: Bacterial small subunit ribosomal RNA
Source: RNAcentral
GCCAGAGAUGGCUGGUGCCGAAAGGGAAUCGGAACAUAGGUGCUGCAUGGCUGUCGUCAGCUCGUGUCGUGAGAUGUUGGGUUAAGUCCCGCAACGAGCGCAACCCUUAUCAUUAGUUGCUACGCAAGGGCACUCUAAUGAGACUGCCGGUGACAAACCGGAGGAAGGUGGGAUGACGUCAAGUCCUCAUGGCCCUUAUGGGUAGGGCUUCACACGUCAUACAAUGGUCGGUACAGAGGGUUGCCAAGCCGCGAGGCGGAGCCAAUCCCACAAAGCUGAUCGUAGUCCGGAUUGUUCUCUGCAACUCGAGAGCAUGAAGUCGGAAUCGCUAGUAAUCGCAGGUCAGCAUACUGCGGUGAAUACGUUCCCGGGUCUU